UACGUAGGGAGCAAGCGUUGUCCGGAAUCAUUGGGCGUAAAGCGCGCGUAGGCGGCCCCGUAAGUCCGCUGUGAAAGUCAAAGGCUCAACCUUUGAAAGCCGGUGGAUACUGUGGGGCUAGAGUCCGGAAGAGGCGAGUGGAAUUCCUGGUGUAGCGGUGAAAUGCGUAGAUAUCUGGAGGAACACCGGUGGCGAAGGCGGCAUCCUGGACCGGUAUUGACGCUGAGGCGCGAAAGCUAGGGGAGCAAACGGG
Molecule: ribosomal RNA, 253 nt
Filed under: uncultured bacterium
Lineage: Bacteria
Description: partial 16S ribosomal RNA
Rfam family: Bacterial small subunit ribosomal RNA
Source: RNAcentral